RNAcentral lists this ribosomal RNA (422 nucleotides) under uncultured archaeon. RNAcentral describes it as "partial 16S ribosomal RNA". It matches the Rfam family "Archaeal small subunit ribosomal RNA", at positions 323 to 746 of the family's 1478-position model. The record is from RNAcentral.
CUACGGGUGGCUCCAGGCGCGAAACCUUUACAAUGCACGCAAGUGUGAUAAGGGAACCCUAAGUGCUCAUGUUUAACAUGGGCUCUUGCCAAAGGUAAAUACUUUGGCGAAUAAGUGGUGGGUAAGACCGGUGCCAGCCGCCGCGGUAACACCGGCGCCACGAGUGGCAAUCAACUUUAUUGGGCCUAAAGCGUCCGUAGCUGGUCUUGUAAGUCUCUUGUGAAAUCGUCAGGCCUAACCUGACGGCGGGCUUGAGAUACUGUAAGACUUGGAACUGGGAGGAGUCAGAGGUAUGCUGGGGGGAGCGGUAAAAUGCUAUAAUCCUCAGAGGACCACCUGUGGCAAAGGCGUCUGACUAGAACAGAUUCGACAGUGAGGGACGAAAGCUAGGGGAGCGAUCCGGAUUAGAUACCCCGGUAGUC